CAAGUCGAACGCGAAAGUUCCCUUCGGGGGACAAGUAGAGUGGCGCACGGGUGAGUAACACGUAGGUAAUCUACCUUCGGGUGGGGAAUAACAACCGGAAACGGUUGCUAAUACCGCAUAAUGCAGCGGCACCUAAUGGUGACAGUUGUUAAAGCGGGGGAUCGAAAGAUCUCGCGCCUGAAGAGGAGCCUGCGGCGGAUUAGCUAGUUGGUAGGGUAACGGCCUACCAAGGCGACGAUCCGUAGCCGGCCUGAGAGGGCGGUCGGCCACACUGACACUGACAUACGGGUCAGACUCCUACGGGAGGCAGCAGUCGGGAAUUUUGGGCAAUGGGCGAAAGCCUGACCCAGCAACGCCGCGUGAAGGAUGAAAUCCCUCGGGAUGUAAACUUCGCAAGAACGGGAAGAAUAAGUCUAUGUUAAUACCAUAGGCGAUGACGGUACCGUUUGUAAGCUCCGGCUAACUCCGUGCCAGCAGCCGCGGUAAUACGGGGGGAGCAAGCGUUGUUCGGAUUUACUGGGCGUAAAGGGCGCGUAGGCGGCCACCGCAAGUCAGUUGUGAAAUCUCCGAGCUUAACUCGGAAAGGUCAACUGAUACUGCGGGGCUAGAGUGCGGAAGGGGCAACUGGAAUUCUUGGUGUAGCGGUGAAAUGCGUAGAUAUCAAGAGGAACACCUGCGGCGAAGGCGGGUUGCUGGGCCGACACUGACGCUGAGGCGCGAAAGCUAGGGGAGCGAACGGGAUUAGAUACCCCGGUAGUCCUAGCCUUAAACGAUGAAUGCUUGGUGUCUGGGGUUAUAUAGUCCCCGGGUGCC
Molecule: ribosomal RNA, 813 nt
Filed under: uncultured Actinomycetes bacterium
Lineage: Bacteria; Bacillati; Actinomycetota; Actinomycetes
Description: bacterial SSU rRNA
Rfam family: Bacterial small subunit ribosomal RNA
Source: RNAcentral